ACAUUUCAAAUUAAUACAAAAGCAGAAAACAUAAACAUAAAGAAGCAGGAGGACAUUUCAAUUUCACAAGGGAGAACUUUGGAGAGGAGAAAACUGAUGGAAAAAACUGCUGGAGAGGAAUCUCCUGAUUUCUCCCCUUUGAGGGGGAGACAACGGGAAUGCGACAUCGUUACGAUCAACAGGAUGGCAGAAAUGGAAUUCAGGCGGCUUUUAAAUUUAGUUAACAUGCAGCAAUUUAUGAUCAAUUGUCUGAUAGACGAACUUGAUUCACUGCGUUCACUGCUGGAGAUAUAUCUUGCUGACACCAAUGAUGCUGACACAAAUGAUGCUGCCACCACUGACACUGCCACCACUGACUCUGACACCAGUGAUGCUGCCACCACUGACUCUGACACCAGUGAUGCUGAAACCAGUGAUACCGACAGCAGCUCACAACCAACUCAAUGUGAGCAACAGGAAAACGUCGUCGCUGACCAACAGGAUGCUGAAGAAGAAAAGGGAGCGGCAGCACCCCCCGAAUCAGAGGAACAACAACCUGUGAAAGGAGAAGGCAGAGUGAAGAAAAUGAGGAGCUAUCUCAGUGACCUUUUUAAUCCUCAUGCAUUUAAUAAGUGGGAGAAAUUAGAGAAUGACGACGUAGACUAAUUUUUCAUUUGUCCUUUUGUAAUGCUUUAUAAGAAUCUGACAAUUGCAAUAUUCAGGAAAUAAAACAAUGUGCACGAUA
Molecule: long non-coding RNA, 724 nt
Organism: Larimichthys crocea (large yellow croaker)
Lineage: Eukaryota; Metazoa; Chordata; Actinopteri; Sciaenidae
Exons: 3
Source: RefSeq, a predicted model, not a curated record